Molecule: long non-coding RNA, 9301 nt
Filed under: Trifolium pratense (red clover)
Lineage: Eukaryota; Viridiplantae; Streptophyta; Magnoliopsida; Fabales; Fabaceae
Description: long non-coding RNA (TPRA_LNC000621)
Source: RNAcentral
UCACUCACAACCGUUAGAAUGUCAUUUUUAGUGUUAAGUUACGGUGUCGCCGGUGCUAUCCCUCUUUCCACUCCCAACAAUUUGUGUCUUCCAAUUCCCAAUUUCAAUCGUAGCCGAUUUAACUCUCAAGCUCAUUCCAAUUCCCAAUUACGUCACAAUCUUGUCAACCCUACACCAUCAUCCGUCUUCGAACUCGGUAAGAUGUUAACUUCCCUUGUUAAAAACAAGCAGUUUGACACUGCUAUUUCCCUCUCUAAUCAAAUGGAGCUCAAUGGAAUUCAACCUAACUUUGUUACUUUGAACAUCUUACUCAAUUGUUUCUGCCACCUUAGUCAACUUAAUUUUGCAUUUUCUGUAUUGGCUAAGAUUAUUAAACUAGGUUAUCAGCCUAAUACAAUAACAAUGACUACACUUAUGAAAGGCAUGUGUCUUAGUGGUCAGGUUAAUAAAGCUUUGGAUUUUCAUGACGAUGUUAUAUCAAAGGGAUUUCAGCUUAAUCAAGUUACUUAUGGAAUCUUGAUUGAUGGGUUAUGUAAAAAAGGAGAAACAACAGCUGCCCUGCAGUUGCUCAGAAGGAUUGAAGAGUUAAUGGUUGAACCAAACGUGGUAAUGUACAGUAUAGUCAUUAAUAGUCUUUGCAAGGAUAAACUUGUGAGUGAUGCUUUUCAUUUAUAUUCUGAAAUGAUUGUCAACAAUAUUUAUCCUAAUGUUGUCACUUACAAUACUUUAAUAUAUGGCCUUUGUAUUGUCGGUCAAUUCAAAGAAGCUGUUAGUUUGUUAAAUGAAAUGUGGUUGAAAAACAUCAGCCCGGGUGUUCAUCCUUUUAAUCAAUUGAUUGAUGGUUUAUCUAAGGAAGGAGAGGUGAGAAAAGCUAAAAAUGUCUUAGCUGUUAUGAUAAAACAAGGUGUGAAACCAGAUGUUGUUACUUAUACUUCUUUAACAGAGGGGUAUUUCUUGGUUAAUGAAGUGAACGAGGCCAAAUAUGUAUUCAACACUAUUGCUCAAACGGAAGUGAAACCAGAUGUUUGUACCUACACAGUCCUGAUUAAUGGAUUAUGCAAGAAUAAAAUGGUGGAUGAAGCCAUGGAUCUCUUGAAAGAAAUGUAUUUAAAAAACAUCUCUCCUGAUACUAUAACAUACAGUUCGCUUAUUGGUGGGCUUUGCAAAUCGGGGAGAAUCUCUGAUGUUUGGUAUCUUCUUGAUGAGAUGCAUGAUAGAGGCCAUCCUGCUAAUGUGAUCACUUACACUUCUAUAUUGGNNNNNNNNNNNNNNNNNNNNNNNNNNNNNNNNNNNNNNNNNNNNNNNNNNNNNNAAGGCGAUGAAACUUUAUCGUGAAAUGAUUGCUAGAGGUCUUUUAUAAGAGUCGAACUAGGUGAGAUGCUUGCAAGCUACAAUUUGUUAUUUUGAAUUAGAAAAUGACCAUCUAAUUUUUAUUUCUUUUCAUAUUUAUAAAAGAUGGUUGGUGCAAUUGACUCACUAUUACAUUUUUUUUCAAUUUUAAUUAAAAUUUAUACUUUGGUAAUUUCAUUAUGAUAUUUGUUACGGCAAUUGUGUUUCACUUUUUUCAUUCUUUAAUAACUAUCCUUUUCUUCCUAAUUUUUUAUGAAUUUGCAUCAUAUUUUUCUAGGAUUUUUUUCACUCACUGUCAUUGUUAGUGUUCAACUUAUAUUUUUCAAUGAUUUAUAUUUAUGAAUCUGCAUCAUAAAGGGUAUGCCCAAGCUUGCAUUGCCAUACCUUCCAUAUGUUGAGAUUAUUUAUGCUAGUGGGGAAACUGUUGAUGAUGGUGCAUCUUUCCUGCCGGAAAUUGCCGCCAGUAUGUAUAAUCUCAAGAUACUUUCCAUCAAAUUUUUUCAUGAACUCAAGAUACUACCAAAUGAACUCAACACUCUCAGUUCCAUACAAGAACUACACAUUUCAUGUUGUUAAAAGCUUGAGUGUGUACUGCAAGGUUUGAGUUCUCUUUGAAUUUUGAGCUUUGAAUGUUGCAGUAGCUUAAAAUCCUGGCUCCAACGUCCAACAAACCUGACUUGUCUUGAGAGAAUUGAAAUUGCUAUUUGUCCCGAUCUCAUUUUACCAGCUACUGUGAACAUGCUAACUUCCCUUUGUCAAGUUAGAAUCUACGACGAAGAUAAAAAUGGAACGUUACCAAAUUUCUUAGAAGGUAUUCCCUCGCUGCAAAAUUUAUAUUUGUCAAGUUUUCCUUCUCUUGUAACCUUGCCAGACUGGUUGGAGACCAUGACUUCUCUUCAAACAUUAGAAAUCAAUUGGCGUCCAAAAUUAACCGCAUUACCAGCUAGCUUUAAAGAACUCAUAAACUUGCAUCAAUUACGUAUUUAUGACUGUCCUAUAUUGGUGAACCAAUGCAAGAAAGAAACAGGGGAAAAAUGGCAUAAGAUAGAUCAUGUUCCAAAAUUUAAAUUGGAACUUGUUGUUGAACUUGAACCGUCAUUUUAUGGUAAUUUAAUGAAUAGUUUUCUUUUCUUACUAUAUCUCUAGUUUUAUCAUCAAAUUUAUGGUGUUUUUAACAUAUUGAACUUUGUGUGCAGAGAAAACGAUGUCAUUAUGGAAGAAGUCGAAGCAAUUUCUGCGUCGCCAUCAGGACUAUUACCAUUCAGAGGAUGAAUCGGACAAUAUAAUUGAUGAUGACCUGUGAGUAUAUUAUUCAAAUCAUUGUUGUAGAGUGUGUUUGGGUGCCAAGUGCAUAUUCAUUUUCUCACAUUCAGAAGCAUAUUGUACCGUGUGUUAACCGGUGAAAGAAUUGUUUGAUAAAGGAAUGCUACUUUUGUUGGUGUCUAAUUAAAAUUCAUAAGGAAUAGAAAUUUCAGAGCACUUAUGUUCCUGUCCAAGCUUGUUAAAAUCGCGAGUUAAGUCAGAAUCGUAUUCCACAAGUCUAUGUAUCAAUUUUAUGUUGACUGCUGUAAACUAGAAUUUCAACAAAUUUGUAAAUGAAAUCGAGUUGACAAAGCAUUUUAGGAUUUAUUCUCAUUUUUCAAAUUUGGUUAUUUUUAGCAUUUCAUCUCAGUUUUCAAAUUGUAAAUGAGAUACACUGUUAAAUCAAGAUAUACAAGGAGAAAUUCAUCUACAAUGAACACUUUAAAGUGCCUGGAAUAUGUUGUGGUGAUUAUGUAGGAAAUGCAUAACCAUGCUGACAAGUUUGACACUGAAACAGAAUGUCGGGAUGAAAUCAAUGAUCAAAUUAUGAUGCAAUAAUUUAAUUUCCAAAAUGAAGGGAAAUGCAUAGCCCAUGUUUUCUUUUAAAGCUUAUUAUCUUCUUCCUAUAUCACUUUCUUAUUUUUUAGUCAAUUAAUAUGUGUUUUUUUCCUUCAAUUUAUUGCAUUAGUGGAAAAGGUACUUGUAUGACUUCUAAUGAGGAGGAAGUCAAUGAAGAAAAUGAUAAAUGUGAUGAUAGUUUAGAAGCAAAUAUUGUUCAUGUAGCCUUCGAUGCCAUCUCUUAUUUUCGUCCAAUCGUUUUUUUAUUUUUCAUUACAUAUUUUAUUUGGAUAUGUACAGGUACAUCCGUUAAGGUGGAUAAUUCUAAUAGGUUCACAAAUAGUAUUUAUUAAUUUUUUAUAUUAAACACUUUUUUUCAAGCAAAAAGAGAAAACUUAGUUGAUAUAAAUUAAGAAGGUAUCGAACUAGGUAUCAUCCGGUAACAUCAAUUACUUCGUAACAAAAAGGAAUUUGCGCAAGGAUCUAUAUUAAACAUUUAUUGUGGACAUAUCAGAAUUAUCCAACUCAGCGCAGUGUAUGGUUCAUAUCCAAAUAAGAUGUGUACUUAAGUGUUCAAUUGUUUUUAUUUUAAUUUUAUAUGGUUUAGGUGUGGCUACUUUGAUGUUCUAGCUGUUUUCACAUGCAAUCAUUUGUUAGGAACACUCUUUUGAAAUAAAUUAAAUAAGUUCAAAUUUUGUAAAGAAGAAAAAACGGGUUUAUAAAAAAAAAAAACCGCUAUAAAUAUUCCGGAAAAAGCUAACUUAUUUUUAGUAAAUUUUAUUUCAGAGAUUUGAACUGAUGAGGAUUAUCCAUCUUAGUGGUUGGGAAAAAUUCUCAAGCUAGGUUAUCAGCCUGAUACAAUAACAAUGACUACACUUAUGAAAGGCAUGUGUCUUCAGUUGGAACCUUGAUCAACAGCUAGGUUAAAGAAGCAUUGGAUUUUCAUGACGAUGUUAUAUCAAAGGGAUUUCUGCUUGAUCAAAUUAGUUAUGGAACCUUGAUCAACAGCUGCCCUUCAGUUGCUUAGAAGGAUUGAAGCAUUAAUGGUUGAACCAAACUUGGUAUGGUAAUGUACGGUACAGUCAUUCAUAGUCUUUGCAAGGAUAAUCUUGUGAGUGAUGCCUUGCAUUAAUGGUUUCUAGCUACAAUGUCAUGAUUAAUGGAUUAUGCAAGAAUAAAAUGGUGGAUGAAGUCGUGAAUCUCUUAAAAAAAUGUAAUUAAAAAACAUGUCUCCUAAUACUAUAACAUACAGUUCACUUAUUGUUGUGCUUUGCAAACCGGGGAGAAUCUCUGCGUUUGGGAUCUUCUUGAUAAGAUGCAUGAUUGAUAGAGUAUAAGAUAAUUAAAUAAUUUAUAUUAUUAACGAAAAUACCCAUUUUAUUUUCAAAUACAAAAAUAUUAUCUCCAUAUAUCUCUCCGGUACAGUUCUGUCCUGUACUAUAUUAUGUUGUUUUGUCCUGCACUGUUCUAUCCAGUUCUUGCUGUUUUACGAAUCAAACGCACUCGUAGGGUUUGUAACAUUUUAACCUAAUCAAUGAAAUGAAUCAAUUUAUCUUUAUUUAUUGUCUUUUAUUUCCUAUAGUAAUUUUUAAUGUCUUUUACCUAGUUUCUUAGCUUGAUAAAAUUCAUCUUCCUAUCAAUGAUAGAGGUCUACGUGCUAAUGUGAUCACUUACAAUUCUAUAUUGGAUGCUUUGUGCAAAAUCCAUCAGGUUGACGAAGAAAUUGAAUUAUUAGCGAAGAUCAAAGACCAAGGAAUUCAACUAGAUAUGGAUACAUACCAAUGUUUUAAAAACCGGAUCGGAGAUCGAACCGGUGAGAGCUUCGGUUCAUGGUUCAACCGGUUCAAUCGGUUGAACUGCUAUUAAACCGUUAUUGAACCGAAUAAUUAAAAAUAAAUAUGAUGCUGAAGAAUAAAUAAUAAUUUUUGACUCAAUAAUUUGAUUUUUUUUUUUUACAUAGUAAAAAAGAAAGUUAGUUCUCCAAAAAAAAAAAGUUAGUUUUAUUUUAUAAUAUAUUGGGCCAUUAUUUUAUCAAAUUGUAUUGACCCAAAAACUCAAUUAUAAGCUAAACCCUAGAAUUGAAAUAUCAUCUCAUUCCUAUUAGUGAGCAGCCUCCACUCCACUUUCUAUCUUCUUCUCUCACGUAAUUUCUUUCUUUUUCUUCUUAUUUUCUUGUUUCUUCUUUUUCUCUCUUACUCAGAUCUGUUUCAUUCCUUUCUUAUGUAUGACCAUCAAGAAAUAAAAAAUUAUUGUGUGACUACAACAAAUUUAUUCCUUAAUUUCUCAAAUUCAUCCGUGUAUUUUUUUCUUCUUCUUUUUCUUAUAACAAAUAACAGUGGCAUUUUCAUGUUUCCGUUUGACACUUAUGUUCCGGUAAAAAGAAUAACUCUACCCUAGUUUGAAAAUACAAAAUAAUAAUUUUUUUUGAAAUUCCAUUUUUUUUAUUAGAAGAGAACCGGCCGUUUUUUCCGGUUUCCGGUUCGCCGGUUUUUUCGGUUUAUACCGGUUCAGGCCGGUUCAAAGCGGGUUUAUCCCGGUUUAAUGGACUAGCGGUUCUGGUACUUGUUCUGGACCAGUGUUGUGUCCGAUUCACGGUCGAACCGGUCGAACCGGCCGGUCCGGUUCUUAUAACAUUGAUACAUACACUAUACUUGUCGAUGCACUAUGCGAAAAUGGAAGACUUAAGGAUGCACUAGAACUUACGUUGGUAGCAUGUGUAAAAGCAAACCAGUUUUGCGCCCUUCAUAUGCUGGAAUAGUUACAUGCAUACAACUGAAGAGUUUGAUCUUCACUUACCUUGACAGUUCAUCACGGGGAAACUUUGUUGAAUGCACCAAAUGAAACAUCUGAAAGAUAACUAAGUUAACUAGGUUCUGUUUAUCUUUGUUAUGCUUGUGAUUUUCGACGAUAUUGGAACCUUACUUUCAUGGUUUGUCAAAUGUAUACUGUGAACCAUACACUCAACCCAUUUAAAAACUUGAGUUUGUAAUUGAGAGGAAAAAAAUUGACCAAAGAUGAUGCUAGAAAACUGGUUUGUUAUGAUGUAUGACCAUACAUUUCAAUGAAUUAUUGCUAAUGUUUUGCUAUACAUUUGUGCUUAGUAGAUUUCAGAGUAUCCUCCUAAUAGUAGAGAUCAAACAAGCUUUAUGUAUAUGAGGUAGUGAUGUAAUACAUAAACCCUAAAACUUGAAAAUCAUUUCCAAUACGAAAUUUCAACACAAAAAACAACAUAUUAGAAGAAUCAAAAGAGAAAGGAAGUAUGAUUUUAUAUUUUUUUAACCAUAAACCAGAGUAUAAACAAAAUAGGGUUUUUUGCAUGUUGUACCUGUCAGAUGGUAAUCGCACGAACGACGAUGAUGAAGAUGAUCGACGGUGAUGAAGAUUAUAUUGUGUUUUUGUUUUCUCCGACUUAACGUUCUCACUCCAUUUUUACGUUUGUUUGAGAAACAUAAGGGUUUGAUUGAGAGAGAGAGAGAGAGAGAGAGAGAGAGAGAGAGAGGCUGAAGCGUUAAUAGAAACAAAGAGGGAAAAAAAUUAUUUUAAUAAUUUUGUAACUUUUUAAUUUCAGUCAAAUUGCCCGACAUGGCAUCCUAACACCGUACACCACGUCACCUUUACUAGCCACAUCAUCACAAUUAACAGAACAACUAACGAAGGAGGCAAUUUGAUUGACGUUUUAAUAUUUCAAGGGGUAUUUGUUUAUUUCCAAAUUUCAUGGGGUAUUUGACAAAUUUUGAAAUAUCAGGAGGUAUUUGGCGUUUCACUCAUUAACUAUUUGUUGUUUCAAAUUGGUCCCCUUACUUAUAUUUUGUUUGCCAAUUUGGUCCUUUCUACUAACUUGGGUAAAAAACGUUAAGUAUGCAUACGUGGUUGUGAUAUGGCAAUUCAUGAAGUGAAGGUCUGUUUGAAUUGAUGAAAUGUAAUGAAAUGGAGUGGAGUGAAAUAAAGCGAAAUGAAAAUGAACGGAAUUGAAUAAAUUAAAUAUUUUAUGACGGAACACAACAAAUUUAUUAUUCCAUUGUUUGAAAAGUGGACAUAAUUGAAUAAAUUAUAAUAUUUUAUUACAUUUUUAAUUAAAUUUGAUUAGCAUUCUAAAUUAAUUUUUUUUUAAUUAAAGUGGACAGAAUUGAUUAAAAAUAUAGGAAUAAUUACAUGGCUAAAUUAGCUUAUUAACCGAUUGAAAGUUGAAACCAAAUGUUUUAGUUAUUUGUUGAUUAAUUAUUGCAACGUAAACCUAAAUCAUACCCACCCCUUAUUGAUUUCUUCCUUGUUAUCCAAAACUAAGUUACAGCAACCAACCGCACUACCACAGUUGCAGCAUCUCAUAUUCUUCUUCAUCUCAACGGCCGUUAGAAUGUUAUUUUCAGUGUUAAGUUACGGUGCUGCUCUCACUCUCUCCACUCCCACCAAUUUCUGUCUUCCAAUUUCCAAUUUCAAUCGUAGCAGAUUUUAGUCUCAAGCUCAUUCCAAUUCCCAAUUACGUCACAAUCUCGUUGUUGAUGAUGCUAUUUCUUCAUUCAAUCAAAUGCUAUGUAUCAACCCUACCCCACCCNNNNNNNNNNNNNNNNNNNNNNNNNNNNNNNNNNNNNNNNNNCUGCUAUUUCCCUCUCUAAUCAAAUGGAGCUCAAUGGAAUUCAACCUAACUUUGUUACUUUGAACAUCUUACUCAAUUGUUUCUGCCGCAUUGGUCAACUCAAUUUUGCAUUUUCUGUAUUGGCAAAAAUUAUUAAACUAGGUUAUCAGCCUAAUACAAUAACAAUGGCUACACUUAUGAAAGGCAUGUGUCUUAGUGGUCAGGUUAAUAAAGCUUUGGAUUUUCAUGACGAUGUUNNNNNNNNNNNNNNNNNNNNNNNNNNNNNNNNNNNNNNNNNNNNNNNNNNNNNNNNNNNNNNNNNNNNNNNNNNNNNNNNNNNNNNNNNNNNNNNNNNNNNNNNNNNNNNNNNNNNNNNNNNNNNNNUACUUUAAUAUAUGGCCUUUGUAUUGUCGGUCAAUUCAAAGAAGCUGUUAGUUUGUUAAAUGAAAUGUUGUUGAAAAACAUCAGCCCGGGUGUUCAUCCUUUUAAUCAAUUGAUUGAUGGUUUAUCUAAGGAAGGAGAGUUGAGAAAAGCUAAAAAUGUCUUAGCUGUUAUGAUAAAACAAGGUGUGAAACCAGAUGUUGUUACUUAUACUUCUUUAAUAGAUGGGUAUUUCUUGGUUAAUGAAGUGAAGGAGGCCAAAUAUGUAUUCAACACUAUUGCUAAAACGGAAGUGAAACCAGAUGUUUGUACCUACACAGUCAUGAUUAAUGGAUUAUGCAAGAAUAAAAUGGUGGAUGAAGCCAUGGAUCUCUUCAAAGAAAUGUAUUUAAAAAACAUCUCUCCUGAUACUAUAACAUACAGUUCGCUUAUUGCUGGGCUUUGCAAAUCGGGGAGAAUCUCUGAUGUGUGGUAUCUUCUUGAUGAGAUGCAUGAUAGAGGCCAUCCUGCUAAUGUGAUCACUUACACUUCUAUAUUGGAUGCAUUAUGCAAAAACCAUCAGUUUGACAAGGCAAUUGAAUUAUUGGCGAAGAUCAAAGACCAACAAAUUCAGCUAAAUAUGCCUACAUACACUAUACUUGUCGAUGGACUAUGCAAAAAUGGAAGACUUAAGGAUGCACUAGUGGUUUAUCAGGAUCUUUUGAUUAAAAGCUACCAUUUAAAUGUGACGAUGUAUACUGCUAUGAUUAACGGGCUUUGUAAAGAGGGCUUGAUUGAUGAUGCAUUGUCCUUAAUGUCAAAAAUGGAAGAUAAUGGUUGCACCCCUGACGGCACAACUUACACAACUCUUAUUGAUGCUUUGUCCAAAAAUGGAAAGAAUGAGAAGGCGAUGAAACUUUAUCGUGAAAUGAUUGCUAGAGGUCUUUUAUAAGAGUCUAACUAGGUGAGAUGCUUGCAAGCUACAAUUUGUUAUUUUGAAUUAGAAAACGACCAUCUAAUUUUUAUUUCUUUUCAUAUUUAUAAAAGAUGGUUGGUGCAAUUGACUCACUAUUACUUUUGUUUCAAUUUUAAUUAAAAGUUAUACUUUGGUGAUUUGUUUAUGAUAUUUGUUACAACAAUUGUGUUAGACUUAUUUCA